GACGGAGGAGGCAAGCGUUAUCCGGAAUUAUUGGGCGUAAAGCGUCCGCAGGUGGCUUUCCAAGUCUGCUGUCAAAGCCCGAGGCUUAACCUCGAAUCGGCGGUGGAAACUGGAUCGCUAGAGUACGUCAGGGGUAGGGGGAAUUCCCGGUGUAGCGGUGAAAUGCGUAGAUAUCGGGAAGAACACCAGCGACGAAAGGGCCCUACUGGGACGUUAUUGACACUCAUGGACGAAAGCUAGGGGAGCGAAAGGG
Molecule: ribosomal RNA, 253 nt
Filed under: uncultured bacterium
Lineage: Bacteria
Description: partial 16S ribosomal RNA
Rfam family: Bacterial small subunit ribosomal RNA
Source: RNAcentral